GUAGGUGAACCUGCGGAAGGAUCAUUACAGAGUUCAUGCCCUCACGGGUAGAUCUCCCACCCUUGAAUAUUAUACCUUCGUUGCUUUGGCAGGCCGUGGAAACACCAUGGGCUCCGGCCGGCGAGCGCUUGCCAGAGGACCCAAACUCUGUUUGUCUGUAACGUCUGAGUACUAUAUAAUAGUUAAAACUUUCAACAACGGAUCUCUUGGUUCUG
This 215-nucleotide unclassified non-coding RNA is filed under the name rhizosphere metagenome. Its description in RNAcentral is "partial ribosomal RNA internal transcribed spacer region". The record is from RNAcentral.